RNAcentral lists this ribosomal RNA (400 nucleotides) under uncultured bacterium. RNAcentral describes it as "bacterial SSU rRNA". It matches the Rfam family "Bacterial small subunit ribosomal RNA", at positions 355 to 772 of the family's 1533-position model. The record is from RNAcentral.
UGGGGAAUCUUGCACAAUGGGGGAAACCCUGAUGCAGCGACGCCGCGUGAACGAUGAAGCCCUUCGGGGUGUAAAGUUCUUUCGACGGGGACGAUAAUGACGGUACCCGGAGAAGAAGCUGCGGCUAACUACGUGCCAGCAGCCGCGGUAAUACGUAGGCAGCAAGCGUUGUUCGGAAUUACUGGGCGUAAAGAGUGCGUAGGCGGUUAACUAAGUUUGGUGUGAAAUCUCCCGGCUUAACUGGGAGGGUGCGCCGAAAACUGGCUAGCUAGAGUGUGGGAGAGGAUAGUGGAAUUCCUGGUGUAGCGGUGAAAUGCGUAGAUAUCAGGAGGAACACCUGCGGUGUAGACGGCUAUCUGGACCAUGACUGACGCUGAGGCACGAAAGCGUGGGUAGCAAA